CUAAAUACUGUCCACAGAGUUACCGCCAAGUUCGACUGAACGAGCUGUUACAGGAGCAUUCCAGAGCCGCCAACCUCAUCGUAUUGAGCCUUCCAGUGGCGAGAAAAGGAUCUAUUUCGGAUUUGUUGUACAUGGCGUGGUUAGAAAUCCUGACCAAGAACCUCCCUCCUGUGCUACUGGUUAGAGGAAAUCACAAGAAUGUCCUGACAUUUUACUCUUAAAGCGCGAGGGAUGAGAAAUGUUGUACCUUGGUGUCCGAAUAAUUACAAAACGUGUCUGGUACUUUGUGUUUUAAAACCUCAUCUAUGAAUAUACAAACCUCUGGAGACUAUCCCACCUGAUUCUACAUAAAUUUCAUCUUUUUUAAAAAAGUUAUUAUUAAUGAGAGUUUUUUCCCACCAGUUUUAAAAACAUCGAAAACAUUUUUCCCUUGUCGCUGGUGAAUAAGAAAUUAAUAAGAGCUGGCUGACAUGCUUGCAGGAUGUGCUAAUGUAGAUGAGCUCCAGGCAAACGCAAUCUCUUGUUUCCGUGGAUUCUUCUGCAUGGCCCCGUGCAGGCCACAGGCCCAUAGCGGGCUCUCUUUAAGUUGUUAUUGACAGACUGGUGUGGUGAAAGCAGGCGGCUAUCAUAGGGAAAGACACACUGGGUCAGUGGCCUGAUUCUGCUUGGCCUCCUGAGAAGUUUGUGGAGAUUUAAAAAUCAAUAUCCGGAAACUGUAAGAAGGACUAGAGUCUACAAAGUGUUCAAAGCAGUUACCUAAAUUAAGGUUUAUUUAAUGCAGCCGAUAAUAAGCUUAACCUCUGAUCACACGUAGCUUGCAUUCGCUGCUAGCCAGAGGUACACUAGGUAGGUGAGCAAAGACACAUGUUCCACUUAGACGAAAUAGAGUCCCAACAUACAAAUAUCAAUUGUCUUCCUGGUUAAAUGUUUUGAAAUUUCUACCUUAAUACUACUUUAUCUUUUUUCUCUGAUUAAGUGGUUUGCAUAGACGAAAUAAAAAUAGACGAUCUCAUUGAAAAAUAAUCUCACAGGUUUCCAAUCCACUACUAAAAAUAUAUCCAGAUCCUACAUUUAUUUACUUUCUCUAUAUACAGGUAUAUGGGUUUUAUAGAAUAACAAGGAUAUAAGUGGAGAAACUUGUAAAAUUUUAAAACACAGGUGUUGAUUUUUCUUCUUGUUCGUGUGUGUAUAAUAUUUAAUCACAGAAAAAAUGCUUAUAUGAUAAAUGGCUUGGUUUUGGUUUUGUUGGCAUAUUUUGACUGUUCUGGGGAAGCUUGUGGGGGGCAAAUCAACCUGAAAUAAAAUUCUACU
Molecule: long non-coding RNA, 1311 nt
Filed under: Rattus norvegicus (Norway rat)
Lineage: Eukaryota; Metazoa; Chordata; Mammalia; Rodentia; Muridae
Description: long non-coding RNA NONRATT018548
Source: RNAcentral